ACGCAUUUUAGAGCAUUAUUCACUUUAACUAAAAAUUAAAAUUACAUUCAAAUCCAAAUUUAAAAAUUUCAUAUAAAAAAUUAUCCUAAAAUAAAUUUAUUGUAAUCCAUCUCUACUUUUAAAGGCUGCACCUUGAUCUGAUUUCUUACUAAAUUAAAUAUAAAAAUUAUAUACUUCUAAAAAUAAUUUUCAACAACGAUAUACAAGCAAAAUUAAAAGUUUUUAUAAUCGUGAAUUAUCGAUUACAGGACAGAUUCCCCUGAUGAGAAUAAAAAACCGCCAAAUUUUUUGAUUUUAAAGAACAUAACUCUUAUUAAUCAAGUUUAAACAUUCAACGUCUAGAAUAAUGGGGUAUCUAAUCCCAGUCUAAAAAUCUAGAUUUCUUAACUUCAUAAACAAUAAAUAAAUUAAAUAAAAAAUAGGAUUUCACCCAAUAUUUUCUUAAAAUAAAAAAUAAAUUUUAUUAAUUAAUUAUAACUAAAAAAAAAUAAUAGCAUUUUUUGUAUAACCGCA
This 513-nucleotide ribosomal RNA is filed under the name Tricholapita hermes. RNAcentral's name for it is "Taophila sp. 2 JGZ-2019 partial 12S ribosomal RNA". The record is from RNAcentral. Lineage: Eukaryota; Metazoa; Arthropoda; Insecta; Coleoptera; Chrysomelidae.